RNAcentral lists this ribosomal RNA (266 nucleotides) under uncultured bacterium. RNAcentral describes it as "partial 16S ribosomal RNA". It matches the Rfam family "Bacterial small subunit ribosomal RNA", at positions 88 to 353 of the family's 1533-position model. The record is from RNAcentral.
UUGGCGACCGGCGCACGGGUGCGUAACGCGUAUGUAACCUACCUAUAACAGGGGCAUAACACUGAGAAAUUGGUACUAAUUCCCCAUAAUAUUCGGAGAGGCAUCUCUCCGGGUUGAAAACUCCGGUGGUUAUAGAUGGACAUGCGUUGUAUUAGCUAGUUGGUGAGGUAACGGCUCACCAAGGCAACGAUACAUAGGGGGACUGAGAGGUUAACCCCCCACACUGGUACUGAGACACGGACCAGACUCCUACGGGAGGCAGCAUG